GACGAACGCUGGCGACGUGCUUAACACAUGCAAGUCGAACGGAAAGGCCCUGCUUUUGUGGGGUGCUCGAGUGGCGAACGGGUGAGUAACACGUGAGUAACCUGCCCUUGACUUUGGGAUAACUUCAGGAAACUGGGGCUAAUACCGGAUCGGAGCUCCUGCUGCAUGGUGGGGGUUGGAAAGUUUCGGCGGUUGGGGAUGGACUCGCGGCUUAUCAGCUUGUUGGUGGGGUAGUGGCUUACCAAGGCUUUGACGGGUAGCCGGCCUGAGAGGGUGACCGGCCACAUUGGGACUGAGAUACGGCCCAGACUCCUACGGGAGGCAGCAGUGGGGAAUAUUGCACAAUGGGCGGAAGCCUGAUGCAGCAACGCCGCGUGCGGGAUGACGGCCUUCGGGUUGUAAACCGCUUUCGCCUGUGACGAAGCGUGAGUGACGGUAAUGGGUAAAGAAGCACCGGCUAACUACGUG
This 468-nucleotide ribosomal RNA is filed under the name uncultured bacterium. Its description in RNAcentral is "partial 16S ribosomal RNA". It matches the Rfam family "Bacterial small subunit ribosomal RNA", at positions 28 to 507 of the family's 1533-position model. The record is from RNAcentral.